AUUGAACGCUGGCGGCAGGCUUAACACAUGCAAGUCGAACGGUAACAGGCAGCAGCUUGCUUCUUUUCUGACGACUGGCGGAUGGGUGAGUAAUGUCUGGCAAACUGCCUGCUGUAGGGUGAUAACUACUGGCUACGGUAGCUACUACCUCAUAACGUCGCCUGCCCAAAAAGGGUGACCUUCGUGCCUCUUGCCAUCGUAUGUGCCCAGAUGGUCUUAGCUAGUAGGUGGGGUAACGUCUCCCCUAGGCGACGAUCUCUCGCUGGUCUGAGAGGAUGACAAGCCACACGGGAACUGAGACACGGACCAGAGGACUGAGGGAGGGAGCAGAGGGGAAUAUGGGACAAUGGGCGCAAGCAUGAUGCAGCCAUGCCGCGUGUAUGAAGAAGGCCGUCGGGUUGUAAAGUACGUUCAGCGGGGAGGAAGGGAGUAAAGUUAAGACCUAUGCUCAGUGACGUUACCCGCAGAAGAAGCACCGGCUAACUCCGUG
RNAcentral lists this ribosomal RNA (490 nucleotides) under uncultured bacterium. RNAcentral's name for it is "partial 16S ribosomal RNA". It matches the Rfam family "Bacterial small subunit ribosomal RNA", at positions 30 to 507 of the family's 1533-position model. The record is from RNAcentral.